RNAcentral lists this long non-coding RNA (495 nucleotides) under Panax ginseng (ginseng). Its description in RNAcentral is "long non-coding RNA (PGIN_LNC010980)". Lineage: Eukaryota; Viridiplantae; Streptophyta; Magnoliopsida; Apiales; Araliaceae. The record is from RNAcentral.
GGGUUUCUUUUUUUCUUUUCUUUUUUGGACCUUAAAUUUUAUUUUGUUUUAUAUAUAAAAAAAACCAGUUAACACAUCAGAUAACAUGUUUAAUUCUAUACCCAAAGACAAGAGCUCGACCAAGCGUCUUUAAAGGUUGUUUACUAACUCGACCAAGAGGAGAGGAGGGAGGCUCGGACUAUCAUGGGGGUUAUUCGGAUUCCAACCCGAGUAGUGGGGCAUUUCGCCUCCCCAUAGUUUGUGAAGGGCGGCCUGCGCGCCAAGAAGCCCCUGGCCUGUGUGCCCCUUUCCUUUCACUUUGAGUUUUGUUUUGAUUGGCCGUGUACCGGCCCUGCAUGUAUGGCCGAUGGCCCCUUUUGAUCAAUAGACUGCAUGCCCUUUCGCUUAUUUGUAUUCUCUUUUCUCUUUGGCUAAUCACAGUUAGAAUCUUCGUUAAAAUUUGGAUACUUUUGAUAGUAAUAUUCAAGCACAUAAUAGAAGUUGAAUCAAGUUAAA